GCUCCUGUAGUAUAACUUGGAUAGUACGCGGGCUUGCGGAGCCUGUGAUGCGGGUUCAAAUCCCGUCAGGGGCGC
RNAcentral lists this transfer RNA (75 nucleotides) under uncultured archaeon. RNAcentral's name for it is "tRNA-Arg(gcg)". It matches the Rfam family "tRNA". Rfam says of the family: Transfer RNA (tRNA) molecules are approximately 80 nucleotides in length. Their secondary structure includes four short double-helical elements and three loops (D, anti-codon, and T loops). The record is from RNAcentral.